UAGGGUUUGAUUCCGGCUAGAACGAGCGUUGGCGGCACGCUUAUUACACGCUGUCGAUCGAGAUGCUGGUUCGCUAUGCGGAAAGUGGCAGCCGGCCAGUAUCGCGUGGGAAUUUACUUAGAGGUUCGGCAAACUAUUGGAGCGAUGGCUAUUACCGGAUAAGCUUUUCGGGGGAAGGAUUAUCGCUUUUAGAUGAGCUUGCGUCGGAUUAGCUGUUGGUGAGGUAUUGGCUUACUAAAGCAACGAUCCGUAGCUGGUCUGAGAGGAUGAUCAGCCAGAUUGGGACUGAGACACGGCCUAGAACCUUACGGGAGGCAGCAGUAGGGAAUAUUGCGCAAUGGGGGAAAAUUUGACGCAGCGAUGCUGCGUGAGUGAAGAUGGCUUUAGGGUUGUAAAAUUUUUUAGUGGUGAUGAUAAUGACGGUAAUACAGAAAAGCUUUGGCUAACUUUGUGCUAGCAGCCGCGGUAAACAAUU
RNAcentral lists this ribosomal RNA (475 nucleotides) under uncultured OCS116 cluster bacterium. Its description in RNAcentral is "bacterial SSU rRNA". It matches the Rfam family "Bacterial small subunit ribosomal RNA", at positions 1 to 530 of the family's 1533-position model. Lineage: Bacteria; Pseudomonadati; Pseudomonadota; Alphaproteobacteria. The record is from RNAcentral.